Non-coding RNA from Mycena leptocephala, 96 nucleotides. The record is from the annotation of a GenBank genome assembly. NCBI's taxonomy places the organism in Eukaryota, Fungi, Basidiomycota, Agaricomycetes, Agaricales, Mycenaceae.
AUAGGCCGAUUGGCAGAGUGGUUAUGCGUCUGAUUUACAUAAUGUGCUAUUUUCUGCGAUAAUCAGAAAACCUUGAGUUCGAUCCUCAGGCCUAUG